RNAcentral lists this ribosomal RNA (253 nucleotides) under Opitutus sp. RNAcentral's name for it is "partial 16S ribosomal RNA". It matches the Rfam family "Bacterial small subunit ribosomal RNA", at positions 524 to 776 of the family's 1533-position model. RNAcentral also lists the same sequence under 1 other name. Lineage: Bacteria; Pseudomonadati; Verrucomicrobiota; Opitutia; Opitutales; Opitutaceae. The record is from RNAcentral.
UACAGAGACUGCAAGCGUUAUUCGGAUUCACUGGGCGUAAAGGGUGCGCAGGCGGCCGUGUGUGUGAGGCGUGAAAGCCUGGAGCUUAACUCCAGAAUUGCACCUCAAACUACAUGGCUAGAGCAUUGGAGAGGGUAGCAGAAUUCACGGUGUAGCAGUGAAAUGCGUAGAUAUCGUGAGGAAUACCAGAGGCGAAGGCGGCUACCUGGACAAUUGCUGACGCUCAGGCACGAAAGCGUGGGGAGCGAACAGG